Molecule: ribosomal RNA, 494 nt
Filed under: uncultured bacterium
Lineage: Bacteria
Description: bacterial SSU rRNA
Rfam family: Bacterial small subunit ribosomal RNA
Source: RNAcentral
GAUCCUGGCUCAGAUUGAACGCUGGCGGCAUGACCUAACACAUGCAAGUCGAACGGAGGUAGGGGCAACUCUACUUCAGUGGCGGACGGGUGAGGAAUGCGUCGGAAUCUACCCUAUGGUGGGGGAUAACACAGGGAAACUUGUGCUAAUACCGCAUAAUGUCGAGAGACCAAAGCAGGGGACCGCAAGGCCUUGCGCGAUAGGAUGAGCCGACGCCCGAUUAGCUAGUUGGUAGGGUAAAGGCCUACCAAGGCGACGAUCGGUAGCUGGUCUGAGAGGAUGAUCAGCCACACUGGGACUGAGACACGGCCCAGACUCCUACGGGAGGCAGCAGUGGGGAAUAUUGGACAAUGGGCGCAAGCCUGAUCCAGCAAUGCCGCGUGUGUGAAGAAGGCCUGCGGGUUGUAAAGCACUUUUGUUCGGGAAGAAAUCAUGCUGGUUAAUACCUGGUAUGGAUGACGGUACCGAAAGAAUAAGCACCGGCUAACUUCGUG